CGAUAUUUCAUACCACAAGAAUGUGGCGCUCCACGGUUGGUGAGCAUGCUCGGUUCGUCCGAGAAGCCUUAAAACCGUGACGACAUAUUCACCUUGAACCAAGGGUUCAAGGGUUACAGCCUGCGGCGGCAUCUCGGAGAUUCC
RNAcentral lists this small RNA (144 nucleotides) under Pseudomonas aeruginosa. Its description in RNAcentral is "partial 6S RNA". It matches the Rfam family "6S / SsrS RNA", at positions 42 to 187 of the family's 187-position model. From Rfam's summary of the family: E. coli 6S RNA was the first non coding RNA to be sequenced, but its function was unknown until recently. It consists of 184 nucleotides that fold into an extended hairpin structure with a large single-stranded internal bulge. The 6S RNA specifically associates with RNA polymerase holoenzyme containing the sigma70 specificity factor. Lineage: Bacteria; Pseudomonadati; Pseudomonadota; Gammaproteobacteria; Pseudomonadales; Pseudomonadaceae. The record is from RNAcentral.